ACAUACCUAUACGUUGCCUCGGCGGAUCAGCCCGCGCCCCGUAAAACGGGACGGCCCGCCCGAGGACCCCUUUUAGUGGAACUUCUGAGUAAAACAAACAAAUAAAUCAAAACUUUCAACAACGGAUCUCUUGGUUCUGGCAUCGAUGAAGAACGCAGCAAAAUGCGAUAAGUAAUGUGAAUUGCAGAAUUCAGUGAAUCAUCGAAUCUUUGAACGCACAUUGCGCCCGCCAGUAUUCUGGCGGGCAUGCCUGUUCGAGCGUCAUUUCAACCCUCAAGCUCAGCUUGGUGUUGGGACUCGCGGUAACCCGCGUUCCCCAAAUCGAUUGGCGGUCACGUCGAGCUUCCAUAGCGUAGUAAUCAUACACCUCGUUACUGGUAAUCGUCGCGGCCACGCCGUAAAACCCCAACUUCUGAAUGUUGACCUCGGAUCAGGUAGGAAUACCCGCUGAACUUAAGCAUAUCAAUAAGCGGAGGAAU
This 479-nucleotide ribosomal RNA is filed under the name Fusarium chlamydosporum. Its description in RNAcentral is "eukaryotic LSU rRNA". The stretch from base 111 to 264 matches the Rfam family "5.8S ribosomal RNA". The record is from RNAcentral. Lineage: Eukaryota; Fungi; Ascomycota; Sordariomycetes; Hypocreales; Nectriaceae.